GACGAACGCUGGCGGCGUGCUUAACACAUGCAAGUCGAACGGUGAAGCGCCUUCCUUUUUGGUGGGUGUGGAUGAGUGGCGAACGGGUGAGUAACACGUGAGUAACCUGCCCCCUUCUUCUGGAUAACCGCAUGAAAGUGUGGCUAAUACGGGAUAUUCUGGGUCUGUCGCAUGAUGGGUCUGGGAAAGAUAUUGUUUCGGUGGGGGAUGGGCUCGCGGCCUAUCAGCUUGUUGGUGGGGUGAUGGCCUACCAAGGCGGUGACGGGUAGCCGGCCUGAGAGGGUGGACGGUCACACUGGGAAUGAGACACGGCCCAGACUCCUACGGGAGGCAGCAGUGGGGAAUAUUGCACAAUGGGCGCAAGCCUGAUGCAGCGACGCCGCGUGAGGGAUGGAGGCCUUCGGGUUGUGAACCUCUUUCGCCAGUGAAGCAGGCCUGCCUCGUUUGUGGGUGGGUUGACGGUAGCUGGAUAAGAAGCGCCAGCUAACUACGUG
Molecule: ribosomal RNA, 494 nt
Filed under: uncultured bacterium
Lineage: Bacteria
Description: partial 16S ribosomal RNA
Rfam family: Bacterial small subunit ribosomal RNA
Source: RNAcentral